This 465-nucleotide ribosomal RNA is filed under the name Vreelandella stevensii. Its description in RNAcentral is "partial 16S ribosomal RNA". It matches the Rfam family "Bacterial small subunit ribosomal RNA", at positions 338 to 795 of the family's 1533-position model. The record is from RNAcentral. Lineage: Bacteria; Pseudomonadati; Pseudomonadota; Gammaproteobacteria; Oceanospirillales; Halomonadaceae.
CCUACGGGGGGCAGCAGUGGGGAAUAUUGGACAAUGGGCGAAAGCCUGAUCCAGCCAUGCCGCGUGUGUGAAGAAGGCCUUCGGGUUGUAAAGCACUUUCAGUGGGGAAGAAAGCCUUGGGGCUAAUACCCUCGAGGAAGGACAUCACCCACAGAAGAAGCACCGGCUAACUCCGUGCCAGCAGCCGCGGUAAUACGGAGGGUGCGAGCGUUAAUCGGAAUUACUGGGCGUAAAGCGCGCGUAGGCGGUCUGAUAAGCCGGUUGUGAAAGCCCCGGGCUCAACCUGGGAACGGCAUCCGGAACUGUCAGGCUAGAGGGCAGGAGAGGAAGGUAGAAGUCCCGGUGUAGCGGUGAAAUGCGUAGAGAUCGGGAGGAAUACCAGUGGCGAAGGCGGCCUUCUGGACUGACACUGACGCUGAGGUGCGAAAGCGUGGGUAGCAAACAGGAUUAGAUACCCGUGUAGUC